RNAcentral lists this transfer RNA (76 nucleotides) under Nitrososphaerota archaeon. RNAcentral's name for it is "tRNA-Arg". It matches the Rfam family "tRNA". Rfam says of the family: Transfer RNA (tRNA) molecules are approximately 80 nucleotides in length. Their secondary structure includes four short double-helical elements and three loops (D, anti-codon, and T loops). Further hydrogen bonds mediate the characteristic L-shaped molecular structure. tRNAs have two regions of fundamental functional importance: the anti-codon, which is responsible for specific mRNA codon recognition, and the 3' end, to which the tRNAs corresponding amino acid is attached (by aminoacyl-tRNA synthetases). tRNAs cope with the degeneracy of the genetic code in two manners: having more than one tRNA (with a specific anti-codon) for a particular amino acid; and 'wobble' base-pairing, i.e. permitting non-standard base-pairing at the 3rd anti-codon position. Lineage: Archaea; Thermoproteati; Nitrososphaerota. The record is from RNAcentral.
GGGCCCGUAGCCUAGCACGGAUCAGGGCAUCAGCCUGCGGAGCUGAGGGUCGCCGGUUCGAAUCCGGCCGGGCCCG